GAAAAUGUUCGGAUAUUUCAGUUUGGGCCCGACCUGAAGCAGAUCUCUUUUCCAGUUUUUUUUUUUUUUCAGAUCUGCUCCGAGAAAUCGGAGAUCUGCAGAAAAUAGCAGCCCUGGCUCUGCUCACCGCCAGCAGCGUCAUGGCCAACCCAAGGCUCUUGCUGGUGUUGGCACCCACUGCUCUGCAGUGAGGCAGCAAUUCCUCCCGCAUGACACGGCAGGGACCGGUCCAGCACCCGAAAAGUGUCUCUUCUGAAAUGCGACAGUCUCUGGUCAGGUCUCCAAUGCCAUAGGGGAAGGGCAUGUCAUCUUCCUUCCCAUACCAUCUUGUAUCACGCACCCAAGGGCUGGUGUUGGGAAUCCUACCGUUGGCUGUGACUCCAAGCAUGUCUCAGGAUUUGAGGCUCUCUGGGUGCAAACGUUUGAGACAAUUCUAGCACAAAAGUGUGCACGCUUUUUGGGUGAUGAGCGCCGUCAAAACUCUGAACUUUGAUUUCAGCACCGUCCAUCGGAGUGGGGGGGGAAC
This 526-nucleotide long non-coding RNA is filed under the name Numida meleagris (helmeted guineafowl). RNAcentral's name for it is "lncRNA (ENSNMEG00000005636.1)". Lineage: Eukaryota; Metazoa; Chordata; Aves; Galliformes; Numididae. The record is from RNAcentral.